RNAcentral lists this long non-coding RNA (496 nucleotides) under Homo sapiens (human). RNAcentral's name for it is "HSALNT0173584". The record is from RNAcentral. Lineage: Eukaryota; Metazoa; Chordata; Mammalia; Primates; Hominidae.
GGGGCACACCUGUAGUCCCAGCUACUCGGGAGGCUGAGGCAUGAGAAUAGCUUGAACCCGAGGGGCGGAUGUUGUGGUGAGCCGAGAUCGCACCACCACACUCCAUCCUGGACGCAGAGCAAGACUCUUACCUUAAAAAAAAAAAAAAAAAAAAAAAAUGUUACCAUAAUCUACCUAUCCUAUCUUAGGUUUUGAAGCCUAAGAUACGUUUUAUAAUAAAUAGACUUAUUAAAACUAAUGUUUGCAAACAUUGCUAAACUUAACAAAUUGGCUAAGUUUCCCUUUGUUAACAAGCAAUCAGUUACGCUGAAGAAUUUGAAAAAUGCAAAUUAAAUUGUUUUUUGUUAUAUUCUGACACCCCAAAUUUAUUAGUUGGCCUUACUUUGUGGUUGUAGGGUGGGUUUAUCACAAGUCCUGGCCUUUGAGAAUGUAGCAUCUCACUAGCCUUAAUGAAUGUUAGAAGGGUGGAUGUAUGACUAGCCAGGUCAAUCAAAGC